UUCUGACAGGUGGGGAAACGGAGGAGAAGAGGGACUGUCACCGCGAGCAGACAAGCUGGGAGCGACGGCGGCCCAGCCCCUGCCGAGCCUGCGAGGCCCCAAGCAUCAGACCUGGAGGCAGUGGGGCCGGAAGCGCCUUUAUUCCUGUUGUAACUACAAGAAGCCACAGUUCAGGGUGCGCCUGGAAAACUCCCAGGAUCCCAGCGACGGGGGCAUGAGCCCCUCCAUCCGACUGGGGAGCCGGACGGCCGGACCAGAGACCGGCCAGCAAGCCUUUGCUUUUCACGUCCCUGCUGGAGGUCCCACGCUCUCUCUCCACCUCCCUCGCUUCCUGACCAGAGGACAGAAAAAACGAGGAGGGAGCAAGACCUCCCUGGGCAGGCUCAGCCCUGCUGCUCGGCUCUUUGAAGAUGCGCUGCCCUGCUUGAGCUGAAUCCCACCUCUGAUGGCAGCU
This is a long non-coding RNA of Molossus molossus (Pallas's mastiff bat), 454 nucleotides long. RefSeq lists it as uncharacterized. The transcript is spliced from 3 exons. Lineage: Eukaryota; Metazoa; Chordata; Mammalia; Chiroptera; Molossidae. The record is from RefSeq and is a predicted model, not a curated record.